GUGAAGAGGGAAACAACCCAGACCGCCAGCUAAGGUCCCAAAGUCAUGGUUAAGUGGGAAACGAUGUGGGAAGGCAUAGACAGCCAGGAUGUUGGCUUAGAAGCAGCCAUCAUUUAAAGAAAGCGUAAUAGCUCACUGGUCGAGUCGGCCUGCGCGGAAGAUGUAACGGGGCUAAACCAUGCACCGAAGCUGCGGCAGCGACACUAUGUGUUGUUGGGUAGGGGAGCGUUCUGUAAGCCUGUGAAGGUGGCCUGUGAGGGCUGCUGGAGGUAUCAGAAGUGCGAAUGCUGACAUAAGUAACGAUAAAGCGGGUGAAAAGCCCGCUCGCCGGAAGACCAAGGGUUCCUGUCCAACGUUAAUCGGGGCAGGGUAAGUCGACCCCUAAGGCGAGGCCGAAAGGCGUAGUCGAUGGGAAACAGGUUAAUAUUCCUGUACUUGGUGUUAUUGCGAAGGGGGGACGGAGAAGGCUAGACCGGCCGGGCGACGGUUGUCCCGGUUUAAGCGUGUAGGUGUGAUGACCUGGCAAAUCCGGUUAUCUCUAACACUGAGGCGUGAUGACGAGGCACUACGGUGCUGAAGUGGUUAAUGCCCUGCUUCCAGGAAAAGCCUCUAAGCUCUAGAUAACACUGAAUCGUACCCCAAACCGACACAGGUGGUCAGGUAGAGAAUACCAAGGCGCUUGAGAGAACUCGGGUGAAGGAACUAGGCAAAAUGGUGCCGUAACUUCGGGAGAAGGCACGCUGGCAUGUAGGUGAAGUCCCUCGCGGAUGGAGCCGAAGCCAGUCGAAGAUACCAGCUGGCUGCAACUGUUUAAUAAAAACACAGCACUCUGCAAACACGAAAGUGGACGUAUAGGGUGUGACGCCUGCCCGGUGCUGGAAGGUUAAUUGAUGGGGUCAGCCGCAAGGCGAAGCUCUUGAUCGAAGCCCCAGUAAACGGCGGCCGUAACUAUAACGGUCCUAAGGUAGCGAAAUUCCUUGUCGGGUAAGUUCCGACCUGCACGAAUGGCGUAAUGAUGGCCAGGCUGUCUCCACCCGAGACUCAGUGAAAUUGAACUCGCUGUGAAGAUGCAGUGUACCCGCGGCAAGACGGAAAGACCCCGUGAACCUUUACUAUAGCUUGACACUGAACAUUGAACCUUGAUGUGUAGGAUAGGUGGGAGGCUUUGAAGUGUGGACGCCAGUCUGCAUGGAGCCGACCUUGAAAUACCACCCUUUAAUGUUUGAUGUUCUAACCUGGUCCCGUAAUCCGGGAUAGGGACAGUGUCUGGUGGGUAGUUUGACUGGGGCGGUCUCCUCCCAAAGAGUAACGGAGGAGCACGAAGGUUAGCUAAUCCUGGUCGGACAUCAGGAGGUUAGUGCAAAGGCAUAAGCUAGCUUGACUGCGAGAGUGACGGCUCGAGCAGGUGCGAAAGCAGGUCUUAGUGAUCCGGUGGUUCUGAAUGGAAGGGCCAUCGCUCAACGGAUAAAAGGUACUCCGGGGAUAACAGGCUGAUACCGCCCAAGAGUUCAUAUCGACGGCGGUGUUUGGCACCUCGAUGUCGGCUCAUCACAUCCUGGGGCUGAAGUAGGUCCCAAGGGUAUGGCUGUUCGCCAUUUAAAGUGGUACGCGAGCUGGGUUUAGAACGUCGUGAGACAGUUCGGUCCCUAUCUGCCGUGGGCGUUGGAAGAUUGAGAGGGGCUGCUCCUAGUACGAGAGGACCGGAGUGGACGCACCGCUGGUGUUCGGGUUGUGAUGCCAAUUGCAUUGCCCGGUAGCUACGUGCGGAAGAGAUAAGCGCUGAAAGCAUCUAAGCGCGAAACUUGCCUCGAGAUGAGUCUUCCCUUGGACCUUGAGUCCACUGAAGGAACGUUUAAGACUAAGACGUUGAUAGGCUGGGUGUGUAAGCGUAGCGAUACGUUGAGCUAACCAGUACUAAUGAUCCGUGAGGCUUAACCUU
RNAcentral lists this ribosomal RNA (1939 nucleotides) under Edwardsiella tarda ATCC 15947 = NBRC 105688. Its description in RNAcentral is "bacterial LSU rRNA". It matches the Rfam family "Bacterial large subunit ribosomal RNA", at positions 1010 to 2925 of the family's 2925-position model. Lineage: Bacteria; Pseudomonadati; Pseudomonadota; Gammaproteobacteria; Enterobacterales; Hafniaceae. The record is from RNAcentral.